This 418-nucleotide long non-coding RNA is filed under the name Marmota monax (woodchuck). The record is from RNAcentral. Lineage: Eukaryota; Metazoa; Chordata; Mammalia; Rodentia; Sciuridae.
CUCCGCUUCACGCACCCUCCGGUAACGAAAAGUAUUUAGUAAUAGCCUUUUGCUGCAACUUUUUUCCUGAUAAUCCUUCUUCUUCUGAACUUUCUUUUUCUUUCUGACUAGAGUUCCUGGGCUCUUAUCAACACAUGCCCUAACUAUUCUUGGUUCCACUGGGGUGCCUUCUUCCCUUAGUAAUUUACUUUUCACCCCUUCCAUAUUUUCAUCACAAAGACAAUACAAUACACUGAGACAAAACAAGACACAAACAUACUGUAUCAAUCUUCUCCAUUUUCUCGAAAUGGUCAUUUUUUCCUCUCGCCCUAUCUGCCUAGGGACGAGCAGAUUUGCUCCCGUCCUAUCUAUGGACGGGCAGCAUUUUUCGUCACUUACCCCCGAGUGUCCCGGGGCUCCCCGUAACGGGCCACCAUCU